UUUUUCGGCUUGGUCUUUUUUAAUACACUACAAUUUAAACAUGAUUCAAUCCAAUGAUAAAUAAAACCUAAAGAUUUUUUUACUAGUAAAAUAUAAAUUCCGCGACCUCAUCCAGUAAAAAUCCAGAUCAAAAGUUUGCUUUCCGGCCACCCCUGCUAAUUGGUGUAAGUUUUCUUUUCUUAGACAUAAUGAAAAAAUAAAGUCACUGUUGAAAAAUAUGUAUAUUUCCAAUUCAAUAUCAACAUGGUUAUAUAAAAUUAUGUUCUAAUUGUUGGUAUAGGUAAUAUUGUCAUUUGCAUACAUGUAUACAAGUAAGAUUGGUCUAAAAUUUUGUGUUUUUGUUGGGCCUGAGCUUAACCAAAAAGAAUGGUUUCUGCCUCUGGGCUGGGCCAUGCAUAAAGCCUACAUAUAUGAGUAGCAAAGCCCAGUCAGUUUCACAAGAUCCAUCCUCCAGGGUCAGCUCCAUAACCGACUAGUGCUAUCGUACGUGUGUCGGCGUUCGAUUCUAGGGUUUUCAUUUCCAUUCCGGAUGCAGAAUCCUCUUCUGUUGAGCUUUAUUUAUGUAUAAUUGAAAUGGAUAGUUUGUGUUUAUCA
RNAcentral lists this long non-coding RNA (594 nucleotides) under Helianthus annuus (common sunflower). Its description in RNAcentral is "hypothetical non coding rna". The record is from RNAcentral. Lineage: Eukaryota; Viridiplantae; Streptophyta; Magnoliopsida; Asterales; Asteraceae.